UGAGUACUUACAGUUAAAGUUUAACUUUUCUCUAUGCUUAAGGGUUUUCAUAGUAAAAUACUUGAAAAUUUACAUGUUCAUGAUGUUUUCUGGUAAAGUAUAUGUGAAUGAAAAACUGGAAAUAAAUGACCUGAAUGGGCAUUUGUGCUAAGAAAAAAAAGUUAGGUAUAGUUAUUUUUUCUUGCUUCUUAUAAUUUUAGAACAUCGUAAAAAGUAAAGGCAAAGUGGUUUUAGCAAAAUUGGUCCCAAAAUAAAUCCUUGAUCAGAAUAAGGGAGAGUGGCGACUUAGACAUUUGCUACCUGUAUUAUUUCGUAUAAAUUAUUUAGUUGUAAAUUCCUUUUCAGGAACCUGUGACCAACAAUACUACCAACUUUCUAAAUGUAUCAUAAGGACUCAGUGUUUUAAUGCAGUGAUUCCUCAAACCUGUGCAAGAAACCAACUCAGCAAACCCUGAUGACUUGAGACUCCACAAAGGGCUGAUGAACAAGAGCAUGCAAGGAAUCUGUUGGAGAUGGUUUCAAGAUGUAGAACUCUUAUAUGUGAAGUAUCCCUAAUGAAGUUGGAACAUCCACGUUGAAAUUGCUUCAUGUUUUGGUAAGAUGAAAUGAUUCUUAAUAUGUUGGCCUUUGGAGAAUGUGAUGAGAACUGUGCUUGUGUAUAUAUGUAUGAUGUAUAAAUA
This 680-nucleotide long non-coding RNA is filed under the name Vulpes vulpes (red fox). Its description in RNAcentral is "lncRNA (ENSVVUG00000021185.1)". Lineage: Eukaryota; Metazoa; Chordata; Mammalia; Carnivora; Canidae. The record is from RNAcentral.